This 433-nucleotide ribosomal RNA is filed under the name uncultured bacterium. RNAcentral's name for it is "partial 16S ribosomal RNA". It matches the Rfam family "Bacterial small subunit ribosomal RNA", at positions 29 to 507 of the family's 1533-position model. The record is from RNAcentral.
AACGAACGCUGGCGGCAUGCCUAACACAUGCAAGUCGAACGAGACCUUCGGGUCUAGUUGCGCACGGGUGCGUAACGCGUGGGAACCUGCCCUUAGGUUCGGAAUACCUCCCCGAAAGGGGUGCUAAUACCGGAUAAUUUCUUCUGACCAAAGAUUUAUCGCCUUUGGAUGGGCCCGCGUUGGAUUAGCUAGUUGGUAGGGUAAAAGCCUACCACGGCGACGAUCCAUAGCUGGUCUGAGAGGAUGAUCAGCCACACUGGGACUGAGACACGGCCCAGACUCCUACGGGAGGCAGCAGUGGGGAAUAUUGGACAAUGGGCGAAAGCCUGAUCCAGCAAUGCCGCGUGAGUGAUGAAGGCCUUAGGGUUGUAAAGCUGUUUUACCCGGGAUGAUAAUGACAGUACCGGGAGAAUAAGCUCCGGCUAACUCCGUG